GAUGAACGCUAGCGGCGUGCCUAAUGCAUGCAAGUCGAACGGGAAGCUUCGUAUUGAUACUUCGGUUGAUUUAUGGAGUGGAGAGUGGCGAACGGGUGAGUAACACGUUGGUAAUCUGCCUCAAAGAGGGGGACAACCAUUAGAAAUGAUGGCUAAUACCCCAUAUCUUAUUUAUAAGGAAAUGCUCCGGCGCUUUGAGAGGAGCCAGCGCCCCAUCAGCUUGUUGGUAAGGUAAUGGCUUACCAAGGCUCAGACGGGUAGGGGACGUGAGAGCGUGAUCCCCCACAAUGGUACUGACACACGGACCAUAUACCUACGGGUAGCAGCAGCAAGGAAUAUUGCGCAAUGGGCGAAAGCCUGACGCAGCAACGCCGCGUGGAGGAUGAAGCAUUUCGGUGCGUAAACUCCUUUUUUGAGGGAAUAGAAAGGAAGGUACCUCAAGAAUAAGCUCCGGCUAACUACG
RNAcentral lists this ribosomal RNA (463 nucleotides) under uncultured Anaerolineae bacterium. RNAcentral's name for it is "bacterial SSU rRNA". It matches the Rfam family "Bacterial small subunit ribosomal RNA", at positions 28 to 505 of the family's 1533-position model. The record is from RNAcentral. Lineage: Bacteria; Bacillati; Chloroflexota; Anaerolineae.